RNAcentral lists this ribosomal RNA (345 nucleotides) under uncultured Streptococcus sp. Its description in RNAcentral is "bacterial SSU rRNA". It matches the Rfam family "Bacterial small subunit ribosomal RNA", at positions 1034 to 1382 of the family's 1533-position model. The record is from RNAcentral. Lineage: Bacteria; Bacillati; Bacillota; Bacilli; Lactobacillales; Streptococcaceae.
ACAGGUGGUGCAUGGUUGUCGUCAGCUCGUGUCGUGAGAUGUUGGGUUAGUCCGCACGAGCGCAACCCCUACUUGUUAGUUGUCCAUCAUUCAGUUGGGCACUCUAGCGAGACUGCCGGUAAUAAACCGGAGGAAGGUGGGAUGACGUCAAAUCAUCAUGCCCCUUAUGACCUGGGCUACACACGUGCUACAAUGGUUGGUACAACGAGUUGCGAGUCGGUGACGGCGAGCUAAUCUCUUAAAGCCAAUCUCAGUUCGGAUUGUAGGCUGCAACUCGCCUACAUGAAGUCGGAAUCGCUAGUAAUCGCGGAUCAGCACGCCGCGGUGAAUACGUUCCCGGGCCUU